Ailuropoda melanoleuca (giant panda) is the source of this 108-nucleotide small nuclear RNA. NCBI's taxonomy places the organism in Eukaryota, Metazoa, Chordata, Mammalia, Carnivora, Ursidae. The record is from Ensembl.
GUGCUAGCUUCAGCAGCACAUUUACAAAAGCUGGAAUGAUACAGAGUAGAUUAGCAGGGCCCCUGCGCAAAGAUGAAUGCAAAUUUGCAAAAUACAUAAAAAACUCAU